Molecule: ribosomal RNA, 2630 nt
Filed under: human gut metagenome
Description: bacterial LSU rRNA
Rfam family: Bacterial large subunit ribosomal RNA
Source: RNAcentral
GAAAGUAAAUAAGGGCGCAUGGCGGAUGCCUUGGCUCUCGGAGGCGAUGAAGGACGUGAUAAGCUGCGAUAAGCUUUGGGGAGGUGCAAAUGACCUUUGAUCCAGAGAUUUCCGAAUGGGACAACCCAAUAUCUUGAAGAGGUAUUAUCCAACGUUGUUGGAGGCUAACGCAGGGAACUGAAACAUCUUAGUACCUGCAGGAAAAGAAAAUAAACAAUGAUUCCCCCAGUAGUGGCGAGCGAACGGGGAACAGCCCAAACCAUCCAUGUUACGGCAUGGGUGGGGUUGUAGGACUACGCCGUUGCAUGAAGACAUCAGAGAAGAACUUUCUGGAAAGAAAGACCAUAGAGCAUGACAGUUGCGUAUUCGAAUGUUGUCGAAGCAUAGUAGUAUCCUGAGUAGCGCGGAGCACGAGGAAUUCUGCGUGAAUCUGCCGGGACCAUCCGGUAAGGCUAAAUACUCCCGAGAGACCGAUAGCGAACCAGUACCGUGAGGGAAAGGUGAAAAGCACUUCGAACAGAAGAGUGAAAUAGUUCCUGAAACCGUGCGCCUACAAGCGGUCGGAGCUCGUUAAUGAGUGACGGCGUGCCUUUUGCAUAAUGAACCUACGAGUUGCCUUUGCCGGCAAGGUUAAGUGUGACGACACACGUAUCCGAAGCGAAAGCGAGUCUGAACAGGGCGUAUAGUCGGCAGUGGCAGACGCGAAACCAAGUGAUCUACCCUUGGCCAGGUUGAAGGCUGGGUAACACCAGCUGGAGGACCGCACCAAUAAGCGUUGAAAAGCUUCUGGAUGAGCUGAGGGUAGGGGUGAAAGGCUAAUCAAACUUGGAGAUAGCUCGUACUCCCCGAAAUGCAUUUAGGUGCAGCCUUGCGGGUUACUGAUGUGAGGUAGAGCGACUGAUAAGAUGCGAGGGCUUCACCGCCUAUCAAGUCUUGACAAACUCCGAAUGCGCAUCAGUUCUACCGCAGGAGUGAGGGCAUGGGUGCUAAGGUCCGUGCCCGAGAGGAGAAGAAUCCGGACCACCUGCUAAGGUCCCGAAAUGACAGCUAAGUUAAACUAACGAAGUCUGACUGCUAAGACAGCUAGGAUGUUGGCUUGGAAGCAGCCAUUCAUUUAAAGAGUGCGUAACAGCUCACUAGUCGAGGAGUCGGGCGUGGAUAAUAAUCGGGUAUCAAGUUGUCUACCGAAGCAGUGGGAUCAUUAAUAUGAUCGGUAGGGGAGCAUUCCAGUCAGCGUCGAAGGCGUACCGUGAGGUAUUCUGGAGCGUCUGGAAAAGCAAAUGUAGGUAUAAGUAACGAUAAAGGGGGCGGGAACCCCCCUCGCCGAAAGACUAAGGUUUCCUGAUCAACGCUAAUCGGAUCAGGGUUAGUCGGGUCCUAAGGCUCAGCCGAACGGUGAGGCCGAUGGCAGAACAGGUUAAUAUUCCUGUACUACCUGUAGGAGUGAUGUGGAGACGGAGGAGUGACAACGCCGCGGACUGACGGAAUAGUCCGUUAAAGGGUGUAGAUGUUGAUUAUCCCAGGCAAAUCCGGGAUAAGAGUCGAACCUGACAGUAUACCAAUUUCCUCGGAAAACGGUAAUAGUGCGUGUAAACAUACUCCCAAGAAAAUCCGCUAAACUUAAUCUUACAGGUACCCGUACCGUAAACGGACACACGUAGUCGGGUUGAAUAUACUCAGGCGCUUGAGUGAAUCACGGUUAAGGAACUAGGCAAAUUGACCCUGUAACUUCGGGAUAAAGGGUCCCUACCCGGUGACGGGAGGGCGCAGAGAAUAGGUCCAGGCAACUGUUUAACAAAAACACAGGGCUGUGCAAAAUUGAAAGAUGAAGUAUACAGCCUGACACCUGCCCGGUGCUGGAAGGUUAAGAGGAGAUGUCAUCGCAAGAGAAGCGUUGAAUUGAAGCCCCGGUAAACGGCGGCCGUAACUAUAACGGUCCUAAGGUAGCGAAAUUCCUUGUCGGGUAAGUUCCGACCUGCACGAAUGGUGUAAUGAUCUGGACGCUGUCUCAACCGUGAGCUCAGUGAAAUUGUAGUAUCGGUGAAGAUGCCGAUUACCCGCGAUGGGACGAAAAGACCCCGUGAACCUUUACUAUAGCUUAUCAUUGAAUCUGGGCACGUGAUGUGUAGGAUAGGUCGGAGGCUUUGAAGCAGGUACGCCAGUAUUUGUGGAGCCGCUGUUGAAAUACGACCCUUUAUUUGUUUGGAUUCUAACCCGUGGAACGGGGACAUUGAUUGGUGGGUAGUUUGACUGGGGUGGUCGCCUCCAAAAGCGUAACGGAGGCUUCUAAAGGUGCCCUCACGACGAUUGGUAACCGUCGGCAGAGUGUAAUGGCAUAAGGGCGCUUGACUGGGAGACUAACAAGUCGAUCAGGUAGGAAACUAGAGCAUAGUGAUCCGGUGUUUCCGUAUGGAAGGGACAUCGCUCAAAGGAUAAAAGGUACUCCGGGGAUAACAGGCUGAUCCCUCCCAAGAGCUCAUAUCGACGGAGUGGUUUGGCACCUCGAUGUCGGCUCGUCACAUCCUGGGGCUGGAGAAGGUCCCAAGGGUUGGGCUGUUCGCCCAUUAAAGUGGCACGCGAGCUGGGUUCAGAACGUCGUGAGACAGUUCGGUCUCUAUCUAUCGUGGGCG